AGGCUUCUCCUGUUUGACCCACCUCUACACUGACGCAAUCAAUGGAAAGAGGGCUCCAGUGCCCUGUACAACAAAGAAACUAAAAUUCCCCAAUAAUAGGUGUGCGGCCUCAUGGGGAACUCUUUGGCCUGAACACCCUGGGAGAAGGAGAACAGGCUGAGGCGGACCACGAGGUGGAACAGCCCAGCGUGCCCGCGGUGAAACCCGACUCCAGCGAACUGCAAUAUACAAACAAUCAAUCAAUAAAUACACUUACCAA
Siniperca chuatsi (mandarin fish) is the source of this 259-nucleotide long non-coding RNA. RefSeq lists it as uncharacterized. The record is from RefSeq and is a predicted model, not a curated record. The transcript has 3 exons. Lineage: Eukaryota; Metazoa; Chordata; Actinopteri; Centrarchiformes; Sinipercidae.